RNAcentral lists this ribosomal RNA (494 nucleotides) under uncultured bacterium. RNAcentral describes it as "bacterial SSU rRNA". It matches the Rfam family "Bacterial small subunit ribosomal RNA", at positions 26 to 518 of the family's 1533-position model. The record is from RNAcentral.
AGGACGAACGCUGGCGGCGUGCCUAAUACAUGCAAGUCGAACGAACUGUGGAAAGCUUGCUUUCAGAGUUAGUGGCGAACGGGCGAGUAACACGUAAGUAACCUAGCUAUUAGACGAGGAUAACUACUGGAAACGGUAGCUAAGACUGGAUAUGAUAGAAAUAUUUAAAGGAUGCUAAGGCAUCGCUAAUAGAGGGGCUUGCGGCGCAUUAGCUAGUUGGUAGGGUAAAAGCCAACCAAGGCGAUGAUGCGUAGCCGACCUGAGAGGGUGACCGGCCACACUGGGACUGAGACACGGCCCAGACUCCUACGGGAGGCAGCAGUAGGGAAUCUUCGGCAAUGGACGGAAGUCUGACCGAGCAACGCCGCGUGAAGUGAAGGAAGUUUUCGGAUUGUAAAGCUCUGUUAUUAGGGAAGAAAGGCUCUAGGAGGAAAUGCUUAGGGAUUGACGGUACCUAAUGAGGAAGCCACGGCUAACUACGUGCCAGCAGCUGC